Molecule: ribosomal RNA, 253 nt
Filed under: uncultured bacterium
Lineage: Bacteria
Description: partial 16S ribosomal RNA
Rfam family: Bacterial small subunit ribosomal RNA
Source: RNAcentral
UACGUAGGUGGCAAGCGUUGUCCGGAUUUACUGGGCGUAAAGAGCGCGCAGGCGGUCGGAUAAGUCGAAUGUGAAAGCCCCCGGCUCAACUGGGGAGGGUCAUUCGAUACUGCUCGACUCGAAGGCAGGAGAGGGAAGUGGAAUUCCCGGUGUAGUGGUGAAAUGCGUAGAUAUCGGGAGGAACACCAGUGGCGAAGGCGACUUCCUGGCCUGUUCUUGACGCUGAGGCGCGAAAGCUAGGGGAGCAAACGGG